UGAACGCUGGCGGCAGGCCUAACACAUGCAAGUCGAACGGCAGCGCGGAGAGCUUGCUCUCUGGCGGCGAGUGGCGGACGGGUGAGUAAUGCAUAGGAAUCUGCCCAGUAGUGGGGGACAACCUGGUGAAAACCAGGCUAAUACCGCAUACGACCUACGGGUGAAAGCAGGGGACCUUCGGGCCUUGUGCUAUUGGAUGAGCCUAUGUCUGAUUAGCUAGUUGGUAGGGUAAAGGCCUACCAAGGCGACGAUCAGUAGCUGGUCUGAGAGGAUGAUCAGCCACACUGGGACUGAGACACGGCCCAGACUCCUACGGGAGGCAGCAGUGGGGAAUAUUGGACAAUGGGGGCAACCCUGAUCCAGCAAUGCAGCGUGUGUGAAGAAGGCCUGCGGGUUGUAAAGCACUUUCAAUUGGGAGGAAAAGCUAAAGGUUAAUACCCUUUAGUCUUGACGUUACCAUUAGAAGAAGCACCGGCUAACUCCGUGC
This 487-nucleotide ribosomal RNA is filed under the name uncultured Halomonas sp. Its description in RNAcentral is "bacterial SSU rRNA". It matches the Rfam family "Bacterial small subunit ribosomal RNA", at positions 30 to 508 of the family's 1533-position model. The record is from RNAcentral. Lineage: Bacteria; Pseudomonadati; Pseudomonadota; Gammaproteobacteria; Oceanospirillales; Halomonadaceae.